Molecule: ribosomal RNA, 465 nt
Filed under: Vreelandella stevensii
Lineage: Bacteria; Pseudomonadati; Pseudomonadota; Gammaproteobacteria; Oceanospirillales; Halomonadaceae
Description: partial 16S ribosomal RNA
Rfam family: Bacterial small subunit ribosomal RNA
Source: RNAcentral
CCUACGGGUGGCUGCAGUGGGGAAUAUUGGACAAUGGGCGAAAGCCUGAUCCAGCCAUGCCGCGUGUGUGAAGAAGGCCUUCGGGUUGUAAAGCACUUUCAGUGGGGAAGAAUGCCUUGGGGCUAAUACCCUCGAGGAAGGACAUCACCCACAGAAGAAGCACCGGCUAACUCCGUGCCAGCAGCCGCGGUAAUACGGAGGGUGCGAGCGUUAAUCGGAAUUACUGGGCGUAAAGCGCGCGUAGGCGGUCUGAUAAGCCGGUUGUGAAAGCCCCGGGCUCAACCUGGGAACGGCAUCCGGAACUGUCAGGCUAGAGUGCAGGAGAGGAAGGUAGAAUUCCCGGUGUAGCGGUGAAAUGCGUAGAGAUCGGGAGGAAUACCAGUGGCGAAGGCGGCCUUCUGGACUGACACUGACGCUGAGGUGCGAAAGCGUGGGUAGCAAACAGGAUUAGAUACCCCGGUAGUC